GGCCCAAACUUGAAGUAGAGUAGAUUAGAAGGAUUAUUUGACCUUAAUAAACCACACUACUUCGAGUUUGUGCCC
RNAcentral lists this microRNA precursor (75 nucleotides) under Haemonchus placei. Its description in RNAcentral is "mir-5928 microRNA precursor family". It matches the Rfam family "mir-5928 microRNA precursor family". Lineage: Eukaryota; Metazoa; Nematoda; Chromadorea; Rhabditida; Trichostrongylidae. The record is from Rfam by way of RNAcentral.